This 253-nucleotide ribosomal RNA is filed under the name uncultured bacterium. RNAcentral describes it as "partial 16S ribosomal RNA". It matches the Rfam family "Bacterial small subunit ribosomal RNA", at positions 524 to 776 of the family's 1533-position model. The record is from RNAcentral.
UACGUAGGGUGCGAGCGUUAAUCGGAAUUACUGGGCGUAAAGCGUGCGCAGGCGGUUGUGCAAGACAGAUGUGAAAUCCCCGGGCUCAACCUGGGAACUGCAUUUGUGACUGCACGGCUGGAGUGCGGCAGAGGGGGAUGGAAUUCCGCGUGUAGCAGUGAGAUGCGUAGAUAUGCGGAGGAACACCGAUGGCGAAGGCAAUCCCCUGGGCCUGCACUGACGCUCAUGCACGAAAGCGUGGGGAGCAAACAGG